This is a non-coding RNA of Pelobates cultripes (western spadefoot toad), 205 nucleotides long. NCBI's taxonomy places the organism in Eukaryota, Metazoa, Chordata, Amphibia, Anura, Pelobatidae. The record is from the annotation of a GenBank genome assembly.
CUGACAUGGUAAUGAAAGCAAGGAACAAUGACCCAUUCGAAUAUCUCCUAAAAUAAAAAGCAACAGAUCCUCCAUGAUAUCUUCAGCAGUGAUCCACAGAUCUCUCCUCUGUGUUACAGUAACAUCCACCUCAAAUAAAGAGGAGAGCACUUUUAGGAUAAAAUAGGUUAUUUAACCCCUCCGUAUCGUCACUAGUAUAUGUACA